GGACAUUCCACACCAUGGAGUGUCAUACCCAGUAUAUAAACUGGGGGAAGUUACUUGAGAAGGGGGCUGAGCUGGACUGAGCCAGGAGAGUCUGGCAUUGGUCAGUGGGUGGCAGACAACCUGUGGAAACACCUGCCCACGCAUCACAGCCGUGCCAAACCUGCCUUUGGCAGAUACUUCCCCACUCACACAGCAGAACCAGCUGCUACCAGAGUCCAGGUGCACCAAAUCCUCAUUCCAGUGAGUGAAAAUCGAGGUAGGAAGGGAUCCCCGAAGAGGAGCAUUCCUUGAGACCAUCAACAGCAUUAAUUCAGUGCACUGGAGUCCUUGGAACUGGUAUCCUGGAACACCAUUGCCUAUCAAUUUUCUGAGGAUUCUCUUGACACCAGGAGAGCUGUUAUAUUUAGAUGCUUAUCUGCUUUUGACUGCAGUGCAGUGCUUGCGAAGAUGUCUUUCAUUUUGAGGCUUAACACAUUAAAUAUCACCUGAUCUGAAGAUGUUUGAGGGUGUAGAGCCUGUGGCAUAGAAUAAAUGUCUUGUCUAAAAAUAGCGUUACAUUUCUGCAUAGCCCUUCAUUUUGUGUAGCUCUACUUUGUACAUAAAUUAAGGCACAAAGAGAAACUAAAGGUCUGUCUUCACACUGACAGAGGGAAGAAAUCUCAAAGCUUAAAAAGAAAAUCCUCUGACAUUCCUACUCAAAAUCUCCCCA
This is a long non-coding RNA of Zonotrichia leucophrys gambelii, 709 nucleotides long. RefSeq lists it as uncharacterized. NCBI's taxonomy places the organism in Eukaryota, Metazoa, Chordata, Aves, Passeriformes, Passerellidae. The transcript has 3 exons. The record is from RefSeq and is a predicted model, not a curated record.